UAUCCAUGAUGAGGACAAGCGCGAAUGUACUCAUUGAGACGUUCCCAUACUUUAGGAAUCGUCUCGUCGGACUAUUGCUGGAAGCUCGAAAUAUUCCCAUGCAGGGCA
Molecule: small nucleolar RNA, 108 nt
Organism: Sorghum bicolor (sorghum)
Lineage: Eukaryota; Viridiplantae; Streptophyta; Magnoliopsida; Poales; Poaceae
Rfam family: Plant small nucleolar RNA R71
About the family: R71 is a member of the C/D box family of snoRNAs containing the C (UGAUGA) and D (CUGA) box motifs. Multiple nearly identical copies of this snoRNA have been identified in Arabidopsis, and it is thought to function as a 2'-O-ribose methylation guide for 18S ribosomal RNA.
Source: Rfam